RNAcentral lists this long non-coding RNA (1541 nucleotides) under Malus domestica (apple). RNAcentral's name for it is "long non-coding RNA (MDOM_LNC016827)". The record is from RNAcentral. Lineage: Eukaryota; Viridiplantae; Streptophyta; Magnoliopsida; Rosales; Rosaceae.
CAACCCUUAGUUAACGCAAACAUUAGUGCUCGUUUCUUUGUUACAUGAACAAGGAACUUGAGAAGUAAGCACAAAGGCAUGGACACUUUAUGUGCCAUGAUUCUUCACUUACAAAUUGUUGUAUGAAGAAAUGAGAGUUGCCUUGAACAACUCUUGAAAGUUUGUAAUUGUGUUUAGAACAUAAUGGUUGGUUGACAAAAAUAGUCCAUCAACAUGGACUUAUGAUGAUUUUGAAUCAUUGAGUGUUAAAGUGCUAAACCACUUCUAGAGAUGGAAACUAGGCAAGGACUUCACUUUUGUGUCCCUAUCCAAAUGGUUCACUAAGUUUAUUGUAAACUAUAUAGUGAACAAAUAACCACACGCUCUCCAAAUUGUUUGAUGUAUAUAACACAAUUGAAAUAAGUUUCAAGAGAGAUAAUGGGAGUUUAGGGACCAUGACUAUUGUAGUCAAAGGAGAAGUCAAAUAAGUUUCAAGAAAUGUCUUGCAAGUGUCAAGAACACACCUUUCGAAGGUGUUGUAAAUUGUUCUUGAAAAGUUCAAAACAGUUGGUUCUUCUACUUGAAUGCUUGAUUCCGUAUUAGUAACUAUGUUUUACAAUCGUUGUAAAAGUGUGGCUAAUAAGAAGUAGAAGUUUAAUGAGAGAAGAGAAAGUACUUCACAUUUGAAACAUGAAUCAAAUAUAGAUCUCUGUGAAAGAAGGUAGUACUUACUUCCUCAUAUGAACUACCAAAGAAAUGGAAAAAAAAAGAUUGUCUUUACAUUCCAAUUUGAAUAAAGGAACUUAAUUCCGUAUGAGAAAUGGAUGAAUGUUUUGCUUGACAAAACAUUGUUCUUUAUUAAUGAAUGAUUAGAUUAUUGUAAUCUAAUUAAUUAUCUCUAUAGUAGAGAUCAUAUGGUAGUGUUAACUGUUUAGAAUAUAACGAUGGUUAAAACCCAAAAGGUUGCAAGGUAGUGACUAAUCCCAAUUGAGUUGUGAUACCUCUAAAACAUAAAUUACAAGUUGGUCAUAGAUGGAUGCUUUGGAUCGUUAGAUCCAGAUCCAAUGCCUUCUUGUUAAAAUUGUAUAGAGGAAAAAUGUUUGAAUCUUUAUUCUUUUGGAAAGGAAGAAAGAAUCACAAAGUUGUUGAGGUUAAAUCACUUAGAUGUUAGUGGCACUUGUCCACAACAAAAUACUACUCAUGUUGUAUGACAUUCACCGAAGAUCGCUCUCGGUUGGACUAUCGUUUAUUUUGAAUAAACACAAGUCCGAAUACUUUGCAAAAGGUUUCAAAGAAUUCAAGAAUGUAAGUUGAUGAGUAAGAUGUCUAAAGUAUUUGCCUCCUUAGAUUUGAUCCAAGGAAAGGUAACACUUUGGAACGGUUUCCUUGAAAGAUAUCAAGGAAAGAAGCAUCAUAAGAUAAUGGAUUUCUCCAUUAGGAGAAGAACGAACUUGAAUAAGAUUAGUUUGUUGGAUGUUAUCAAUUACCCAUAUAGGAUAUAUACUUCUAAGACAAUAUGAUUGUCAAUUAGAAGAUCUUCCAAAAUUUUCAUGACUCCAUAG